AAAGGGUGAUCGCAUGCGCGGUGACCGCAUAAGCGGUCCCUGGCGUUUAAGUGAAACCGCAUAAGCGGUCUUUUGGCCGCAAAAGUGGGUCCCGCAUAGGCGGUAGCGGGACCGCAGCAGCGAAACCUGGCAGGGGUUUUAGUGAACUGUAGUUCAUGAUUUUGAAAAGAAGAGAAAAUAUUUGGGACUUCGGACUAAGGCGAUUUUUGGGCGAUUUUGAAGAGGGUUUCGAGGGUUCCAUCAGGUAUGUAUUCUUGGUCUCGGAUUAAGUUAUCAUGGUGUAAAAACAUGGAUUAAUCACUUAAUUUCAAAGAUUUAAAGAUUAAAAAUGGAGGUUAGGGCUUGAAACUCAAGAGAGUUUAAAUGUGGGUAUUGAAGGGAAAAAACGAACCCCGAUUUUGGUAAAAAUAAUGGGUACAGACUCGUGGCAAGACGAGGAGUCCGAUGAUGUAAAUUUCGUAUUUUUCGAGUCUUUUGAUUGGGUUGUAUUCCAUUAGCCUAUUGUAACUUAUUCGUUGUUGUUUUUGCCAGAUUCGAUGCGUGAGGAGGUCGAUACAAGAGGAAAGGGCAUCAUAUGCUAGUUUUCGACUGACUAAAGGUGAGUAAUAGAUGUAGAUGAUGACCUGAGGGUUUGAAACCUCUGUAUAUCAUACUGUGACGCUGUAUUGAGGUGAGACACGUACUCUACGGUGAGUUCGGGGUAGUUUGUGGACGGGGACUAUGGCUUAGUCCGUCAGAGUGAUGUCCAUACUGUGUUAAUGACUAAAAAUUGAUUAGUAAACAUCCUGCUUGGAUCGUUAUGAGCAUAUUUGGGCCGAGUGCCGAUUAUUUGGAUCCCUUAGGGAUUAUUAUCACUAGUUCCAUGAUAUUGAUCAUGUUUCCAUAAUAUCAGUCCUUAGUUAAAUAUGGUCUCGAAAUGAUUAGUAAACUUCUAAGGUUUUAAUCACUUAAACUAUAAUACAUGUUAAAUGGAACUGAAAAUGGUAAAUUUGAUUGUGCCCGUGUGGCUUGCAUGCAUAUAACAAGACUAAUUGUGGAUCGGGCUGCACGCUGCAGUGAGUGCUAUGAAGAUAUUGUGCUUGGGCUGUAGUGAGCGCGGGUACCCAAAUGUAUCGGGCUGUACGCCUCAAUGGUCAUGUGCAUUGCAUUGCAUUCAUACAUUGAUAUCUAUUUGUCUAUUUAUCAUUAAUUUACUGUUGUUUCAUCGUUAAAUGUACUAGGUGGUUAGUUUCAGCUUUACUUUGUGGUAUUUCGGGAUUUCUUACUUUCAGUCAUUAUACAUGUCUAUUACCACUGAGUUGGAAGUACUCACUUUACUCCCUGCACCAUGUGUACAGAUUCAGGUACCUCGGGAGCAUAGUUGAGCUUUUGCUAUUUCAGAGUUUCUCAGGAGUUGUCGAGGUAGCUGCCUGACGUUCGCAGGACCCAUCUCCUCCCCUAUCCCUUUAUUAUUUUCCGCAUUUGUCAACAUCAGUAUUACUGAGAAUUUAUUAUUUUGUUAUCUUAUAGGCUCUAGACUCAAGACCCCAGGUCCUUGG
RNAcentral lists this long non-coding RNA (1538 nucleotides) under Nicotiana benthamiana. Its description in RNAcentral is "long non-coding RNA (NBEN_LNC007612)". Lineage: Eukaryota; Viridiplantae; Streptophyta; Magnoliopsida; Solanales; Solanaceae. The record is from RNAcentral.